ACGAACGCUGGCGGCGUGCUUAACACAUGCAAGUCGAACGGAAAGGCCCUGCUUUUGUGGGGUGCUCGAGUGGCGAACGGGUGAGUAACACGUGAGUAACCUGCCCUUGACUUUGGGAUAACUUCAGGAAACUGGGGCUAAUACCGGAUAGGAGCUCCUGCUGCAUGGUGGGGGUUGGAAAGUUUCGGCGGUUGGGGAUGGACUCGCGGCUUAUCAGCUUGUUGGUGAGGUAGUGGCUUACCAAGGCUUUGACGGGUAGCCGGCCUGAGAGGGUGACCGGCCACAUUGGGACUGAGAUACGGCCCAGACUCCUACGGGAGGCAGCAGUGGGGAAUAUUGCACAAUGGGCGGAAGCCUGAUGCAGCAACGCCGCGUGCGGGAUGACGGCCUUCGGGUUGUAAACCGCUUUCGCCUGUGACGAAGCGUGAGUGACGGUAAUGGGUAAAGAAGCACCGGCUAACUACGUG
RNAcentral lists this ribosomal RNA (467 nucleotides) under uncultured bacterium. Its description in RNAcentral is "partial 16S ribosomal RNA". It matches the Rfam family "Bacterial small subunit ribosomal RNA", at positions 29 to 507 of the family's 1533-position model. The record is from RNAcentral.